UCCUUGGGUUUGCACCAAAGAAACCCAAUCUGAGGAAGGACCUUACAGAGUCUCUGAAUGAGAAAAACUUCUGUCAGUGAUCCGCUCUUGUGGUAUCCCGGGGCACUCACACAAGUGAAAAAGCCCCUGGAGUCUGAAAAAAGCCUUGUCAGAAACUCUCCUACCUUACCGGGUCCCAAAGAACGUACUCUGCAGAGAACUUUUUGCCAGUGAGAGAUCUAAUUGUGUGGACUGUGUACAUAUAAUAGGUAUGAAGAGAACUGUUCUCAUAGUUAGUUGACCCAUAUGGUAGAGAUGACUUUUAACGGAGUCAGUAUGUAAACAGUUUUUAGAUCCCCAGGAGCUCGUUCUGGGAGGAGUGAGGGCAGAUCGCGGUAGGCCUCAUGGGUAACUCAGGUAAAGAUGCUUUUCUUUUAUCUGAACCACUUCAUGAUUACUUUCGCUUUUUACAAUUUGGAAAUCCAAUAAAGGAAAGGACCGUAACCUUGUGAUAGAAGGUGUGACAUGUGUUACUGUUGGGGGAAAGGAUUGUAUUGACUUUGCCUCUGUCCCUUUUUUAUUCUUGACCAGAAUGGGGACUAGCGUGUUGAUAGUAGCCUGGGAACCAUUUGCUAGUAGUGAAAAGAACUGAACGGCCAGGGAGUAGUGACCCUAGAUCGAAACUGUCCCCCCAGGUUCCUCCUUCAGAGGGCCAACCUCAUAAAGAGGCAGAAUAGUCAGCUUGUGUAUUUUCGUGUGAGUUAAGGCAUCCCCUCAAAAGUUUCCUUUCCCUGAAAUACCUUUGAGAUGAUCGCUGGUUUUCGAAAUCUCCGCUUUAGAGAUUGAUUUCUUUCCAACUCACAAGUGCAAAUUUCAGCAGAACCGUCAUGACGUUGCUAGCGUGCACGUUGUUGGGACCUUAUCACGUCUCUUUCAGUGAUGAGACCCGCUCUUCAGAUCCUCGCAGGCUGAUUAAGGGAAACCAAAAGAAAGGUUUAAGCCUGAGCAGGCACAGAAAAGAACACAUAAUGAUGCAUUAUUAAUGGAGGAGCUAAACUUCUUGAUUCUGAUUAUCCCGACUCCAAAGCUGGUGUUCUUUUCACUCUGUUACCCUGCUGUUGAUAGCAAAUCAAGCCCCAUAAUGAUACGCUUUUCGUUUAUUUCAGUUCUGCCAAGAAAAGAGAAUACUUUUUAUUCCCAGGGAAAGGAUUGCAGUCACCACAACAGAAGGUAUCUGUUUGGCUUGGAAUGUAGGAUUCUAAAUGCUAGAAGGGAAAAGUAGUUGGCAAAUUCAUCAGAGGUUUAAGGAUGAGCACGUAUCUGCAAUUUACCAGGAUAAUUAUGAUUAUCUUUAACAUUCUCUAGAAAUACUAUAAUUAAUCCAGGGAUUAUUAACGGACAAUUCUGAGGGGUUUUUUCCUUCCCUCAGAUUAAAAGACAUUUAAUAUAAAUCCUUAAGAUUCCUCCAGUAUUUGGGAAUAUAGACUGGUGAGUCAGUAUGUUGUUGCUAGUCUGGGUUCUCUGGUUUAUUUUAACAAAUCCCCGAACUCCAGAGAGUGUUGGCAUUCGGACUCAUGGGUGGCCAGUGGCUACCUUGUGUGUGGCUCUAAGCUUUGAUCCUAAUGACUGGUUGAUGAUCUUGAUAAUCUUAGGGUCAGUGGAUAGAGCAUAUAGUGAUAAUAAGGAAUCUGAUUCUAGGGGAUUUUUUGUUUGUGUUUUCGUUUUUGCUUUUUUGUUUUUUUGUGUUUGAAAACAAUUGCUGGAAGUUUAUUCGAUCUGAUGUGUUUUAGUAAUUUUCAUACACAGCUCUUACACCAUGAAAAGUGGCCCAGUGUGACAAAACACGCAAGAUGUAUUUGUUUCUCUUCGGUGCAAAUCAUGCCCGUCACUAGUACAUGUUUGACAGUUGUAAUACUUAAAAUAGUAUUGGGCGUAUGGCCUGGUGGUGAUGACCGUUAGUCCGUAUGGCUACUUGUUAGUCAUUAGAACUUGGAGAAGGGGACAGAGUUUGUAUCGUCGCCAGGGCAGUGACUCGCCCCUUCUUUCAACUAAUCUUACCGGUAAUUGUCUCUCAUCUUUAAGUAAGUUAAGGAUGGACCAUCCCUCAAAAGGAGAACAUUAGGAGUAUGAGACAGGUCUGAGGGUGAGGGCUUUUAACUGUGGGGGAAAAGGUGUUGGUGUUGUUCAUAGAGCAUAACCUGAGGUUGGAGAGGACCACUUGGGAGCCUGUAACCUAAACUAGAAGGUAACUUCUGGGAUGGAUGGAGGUUCUCUUGAGACAGUGCCAACCUAAAUCUACCUCAGGUAAGUAGUUAGAGUACCUUUCAAGAUUUCAGACCAAACGAGACACUUGUAUUCAGUCAAUGUAUUCCUAUGCUUUAAUGUUUUUGUUUUCCCUUAAUUCUUAAAUAAACUUUUAUUCUGAAAAACUCUA
Molecule: long non-coding RNA, 2413 nt
Filed under: Lynx pardinus (Iberian lynx)
Lineage: Eukaryota; Metazoa; Chordata; Mammalia; Carnivora; Felidae
Source: RNAcentral